CUUGUCUGCCGACCGUCUUUACGCACAGCACACAGUACACAGGUAGUUUCACAUUUCAGACGCUCGAUUCUACGGACGAAAAUGUGCUCGGUUGUACAACUACUCAUUGCCAGCUUCCUGCUGGUUGUGCUCGCUGCUUGCGUAUCUGCGACACCAGUCAUCUCAGAUGAAGCGACGGAGAAUGAUCUGAAUAUGCUACGAGCAUAUUACAUGUUGAAUCGACCACAAGACAUGGAUCUGGAGCUACCGGGAUAUUCUAACAGCUUGCUAAAGAGAGGGAAGCCAGCUUAUAGUAUAAAGUGCCUCUUCAACACAGUGGCUUGCUACAGGAAGAAGAGAGCAGUGGACAGGUUGUUGGUGCAGUAACCAACUACACGUCUCAGAAAAAUCUUUAUUGGAUUGGCGUUGACAAUGAGGACGGCUUUCCCUACUCCACUUAAAUCGUUUGGUCAUCUGCAAAUAACGCGAUGUCCAGUGAAAGGCAGUCCGGCAAUCUACGAAACGGCGGCUCCGUCCGAGAUGAGAACGCGCCAGAUAGAACUUAGUCGGUCACAUAUAUUAACGUACACAACCUCUCAACACAGCAAGUAACGCUAUAUGAUGAUUAUCUAUCGACCAAACCGAAGCAGUCAUUAGGCGUUUCGCACACCAAGGGAUUAAAAUAAAAGUGGGGUUUAGGUUAUGAUGGUGGCGAAUGAAGUUCCCAGCUUGAUUACGCCUUAGAGAUCUUGUAUCAGAAGUAGAUAAUAGGAAAUUCCCUAUUAUCUACUUCUGAUCUGUAUGGAUUACGCGGCUCGUUUAAUUUGUGGUGGGAAAGUGCUGCCAUCUAUCGGUAGUACACAAUGAAUACAUUUUUAUUGUUUACUAUGUCUGCAAAGUUUAUAUAAAUUAUAAUAAUUGUAAUUACUAAAUGAUAUGGUAUGAUUGUAGAUAUAAAAUAGAUUCCCGGAAUUUGUACUGCGUCGCAUGCGCAUUGGAAGUUGGAAGUAAGAUUAGGAAGAAAAUACAACAAUAAUACCUGAGGGUACAAAGAAGAAAACAACAAAGCAAAAUCCGCGGUUUAAGAUGCAAGCAACCUCAUCAAUUAUGUUUAUCAAUUAUCAUAACGACAUGACAAUUAUAUAAUUUAUGUAUUAAAAUAGACUUGUAUUAUUUAUUAUUAUUAGACAUUCGUAUGCGUAAUUUGUAUAUAUGUUUUUAAUAUCGAUCAACUCUUCUGCUGAUAUUCUAACGCACGAGAACAAAACAGUUUUUUAUUCUAUUGUUGAACAUAUUAUAAUAGAAUAAAAAUGAAAGCUACCUUCUUAUAAUGGUUUACCUACA
Long non-coding RNA from Priapulus caudatus, 1323 nucleotides. RefSeq lists it as uncharacterized. The transcript is spliced from 3 exons. NCBI's taxonomy places the organism in Eukaryota, Metazoa, Priapulida, Priapulimorpha, Priapulimorphida, Priapulidae. The record is from RefSeq and is a predicted model, not a curated record.